Molecule: long non-coding RNA, 821 nt
Organism: Lynx canadensis (Canada lynx)
Lineage: Eukaryota; Metazoa; Chordata; Mammalia; Carnivora; Felidae
Exons: 3
Source: RefSeq, a predicted model, not a curated record
GCUUGGGGGGCUUUAAGGAAGCAAAUGGACUUUCAGAACAGAGAUUGUCAAUAAAGGAGUAGGCUGACAUAUGGCCUCCGGAGUAUGGUUCCAGGAUUCAGUCACUAGGUGUUUUAGAUUUGAUUCCAUUGGAAAAAUACAGUGUGAUAAGUAACGUGCGUAAGAAGAUUAGUAUGUGCCCGACACAAGAGUUCGCUGAAUGAAUGAUCAGAAGAAAGGAGCUCCACCAAACUGAAGACCAUUUCUCAGGAGUAACUCUAAUACCAAGUUGAGUCAGACUCCUACCAAAGUUUACCACUUAUUGACUUGGAAUAGUUGCAUUUCAACAGAGAGAUGCUGGCUGACUGACAGGACUAUCACAUGCUUCUUUUCUUGAGGAAUACCCAGCCUGAGCUUUGGAUGUGUCCUCUGAGGAAGUACCCAUGACACAGACCACACUGGACACCAACUCUGAUAUCAGGGAAAGGUUCCACAACAGUUGAGUGUGAACAUGGGAUCACUGAGCUCCUUGGUGCAGAGCUGCUAAUGUCCCCUCUUGAGCUGACGGAGGCUGGUGCUGCCUUGAAGCAUGCCAUGCCAAUUCACAGCAAGGUCUUUAUUGUUGAAACUCUUGCAUAAUGACAUCUUUAUUCAUGUGAAAAUACAGGAUGAAUUUCAACUAUAUGAUAUUGUUUAUGUUCAUCAGAAAUGUUAUUUGUCUUUACAAAGUCUGGUUUCAAUGAACCGGCUAUGUAAUGGAUAUUAAAUAAACAUGGAAUUUUACACAUUCAUAAUAUUUGGUUUCUUGUUGUGAUUUUGAUGAACUACACUUUCAAGCACUG